RNAcentral lists this long non-coding RNA (1501 nucleotides) under Calidris pugnax (ruff). Its description in RNAcentral is "lncRNA (ENSCPUG00000001395.1)". Lineage: Eukaryota; Metazoa; Chordata; Aves; Charadriiformes; Scolopacidae. The record is from RNAcentral.
NNNNNNNNNNNNNNNNNNAGCAGCGCCAGCGAAGCCCCCCGGGACUCCCUGACCAGCCCCGAGGAGGAGGCGUUGGCCGAGGGGGGCGAGGGGGGGGACGAUGGGGGCGACCGGAAAAGCCCCUGGCAGAAGCGGGAGGAGCGGCCGCUGAUGGUCUUCAACGUCAAGUGAGUGGUGGUGGGGGGUCUCCUCUGGUCCUGGGGGUGUCGGGGGAGUUGGGGUGACCCACAAGGGUGUAGGGGUGGUGGGACGGUGGGUGCCCCUCCGUGCCGUCUCCAUCCCUUCCCACCACCACACCAGGCUGUCCUACCACUGUCCCACCCCACCACUGUCAGCUGAACCCACCACCGUCAGGUGAACCCACCACCAUCCUUUUGCCACUGUCCUGUCCCAUCCAGCCACCAUCCCAUCCCACCACUGUCAUCCCAUCCCACCAUUGUCAUCCCACCCAGCCUCCAUCCCAUCCCACCAUUGUCAUCCCAUCCCACCACCAUCCCAUCCCACUGCACCAUCUCAUCCAGCAAGCAUCCCAUCCCACCACUGUCAUCUCAUCCAGCCACCAUCCCAUCCCACCAUUGUCAUCCCAUCCCACCAUUGUCAUCCUACCACCAUCCCACCCAGCCACCAUUCCAUCCCACCAUUGCCGUGCCACCACCAUUGUCAUCCAGCCACCACCGUCAGGUGAACCCACCACCAUCCUUUUGCCACUGUCCUGUCCCAUCCAGCCACCAUCCCAUCCCACCACUGUCAUCCCAUCCCACCAUUGUCAUCCCACCCAGCCUCCAUCCCAUCCCACCAUUGUCAUCCCAUCCCACCACCAUCCCAUCCCACUGCACCAUCUCAUCCAGCAAGCAUCCCAUCCCACCACUGUCAUCUCAUCCAGCCACCAUCCCAUCCCACCAUUGUCAUCCCAUCCCAUCCCACCGCUCAUCCCAGUCCACCACACCAUCGUGUCACUGUUGUGUCUUGCCCCCCCCCCACCCCACCCCACCAUUGUCAUCCUGCCACCAUCCCAUCUCACUGUUGUCAUCCCAUCCCAUCCAGCCACCAUCCCAUCCCACCACUGUCAUCCCAUCCCACCAUUGUCAUCCCAUCCCACCACCAUCCCAUCCCGCUGCACCAUCUCAUCCAGCCACCAUCCCAUCCCACCACCAUCCCAUCAGCUCAUCCCACCGCUCAUCCCAGUCCACCACACCAUCGUGUCACUGUUGUGUCUUGUCACUGGCCUAGCUCAGCCCAGCACCACCCAUCCUGUCCCAUCAUCACCAUCACCCCACCACAAUCCCAUCCCACCACAAUCCCAUCCAGCCACCAUCUCAUCCCACCACCGCUGUCCACCCCAUCCCACCAUCAUCCCAUCCAGCCACUAGCCCAUCUCACCACUGUCCCCCUGUCCUGCCCUUGUCCUCUCCCACCCCUGUCCCAUCCUGCCACCAUUCCAUCCCCUCUCACCCCACCCUGCCCUGUCCCUUGUCCCCGUGCCCCCCCCCAUCACCCAUCC